GAUGAACGCUGGCGGCGUGCUUAACACAUGCAAGUCGAACGAAGCAUUUGCGACGGAUUCUUUCGGGAUGAAGAUGCUUAUGACUGAGUGGCGGACGGGUGAGUAACGCGUGGGUAACCUGCCUUAUACAGGGGGAUAGCAGUUGGAAACGACUGGUAAUACCGCAUAAGCGCACAGUAUCGCAUGAUACGGUGUGAAAAACUGAGGUGGUAUAAGAUGGACCCGCGUCUGAUUAGCUGGUUGGUGAGGUAACGGCCCACCAAGGCGACGAUCAGUAGCCGACCUGAGAGGGUGACCGGCCACAUUGGGACUGAGACACGGCCCAGACUCCUACGGGAGGCAGCAGUGGGGAAUAUUGCACAAUGGGGGAAACCCUGAUGCAGCGAUGCCGCGUGGAGGAAGAAGGUUUUCGGAUUGUAAACUCCUAGUCGUAAGGGGAAGAGAAAGGACUGUACCUUACAAGAAAGCUCCGGCUAACUACGUGCCAGCAGCCGC
RNAcentral lists this ribosomal RNA (495 nucleotides) under uncultured bacterium. RNAcentral's name for it is "bacterial SSU rRNA". It matches the Rfam family "Bacterial small subunit ribosomal RNA", at positions 28 to 518 of the family's 1533-position model. The record is from RNAcentral.